Vigna umbellata (rice bean) is the source of this 1013-nucleotide non-coding RNA. The record is from RefSeq and is a predicted model, not a curated record. NCBI's taxonomy places the organism in Eukaryota, Viridiplantae, Streptophyta, Magnoliopsida, Fabales, Fabaceae.
AGCUACGUAACCAUUUAGUGCUACAACGCAAUCCUAUUAUACCUAGGCCAUCAUGUUUUGUAGCACGUGUAACUCAUUUCCCACGUGUCCAUUCCUUCACCUAUUCAUUCAUUCCAUGUUUUCUCCUCCUUUUUUUUUCCACAACAAUCCCCUAUUUAUAAGCCCUUUCAAAUCUCUAAUUGUCCCAUGCACCAACCAAUAACCAAGUUCAUGGCUUCUUCUUUCUCUUCCCAUAAAAACACGUGAUCACUCUCCCAUUCUUGCUGCCAUUAUUCCCACUGCCAUGAAGAGAAACUGCUAUCUGGAUCUUCGUUUUCGCCCUUCCUCUGCUUCGUCACCCCAUCAUUCAAUAACUUUGUAGGAAUGAGCUGUUGAACAUGAACAAAAAAGUCUUGGCCAUUCCACAUGGUGGUGGUGGUCGCCACAUGCUUGAAGUCACAGAACUUCAGGCAAGGGUGAUAAUAUGGUUGGCAAGUCAAGAAAUGGAUGGUAGCAGCAGAGGAGCAGCUUCUGCCAUGUCGCUUUCGUUGCAGUCACAGCCGUUGCUAAUGCAUGCCCCCCAAGGAUUCUCAAUUAAGACUUCCCUACGGAAUUUCCUUCACAAGAGAAAGAAAAGGUCCCAAAAGUCACAUGCCCAUUAGCACUGCCUAUUCAUUUUUUUCACAUCGAUUUUUUAUCAUUCAUUUUGGUUACACCCACACAAAAAAUAAUAGAAAUAAUAAUAAUCAUCUAUUCUUGGGUGUAUGAUGAUUAAAGUAAAAUUAAAGCUUAUGCGAACCAAAAAUAUCUUCCAUUUGAAUCCUCUGGAGACCAACAUCUCAAUACCACUUUUCCAAUGCCUAAUAAUAAAUGAAAAGGACCGUUGCAGUCUUUUUAGUGAGUGAUUGGUGAUUGGAAAGUUUGAAUGUUGAUGGCGCUACCUUAUGUUAACCAAAUGAGUGUACUCUUAUGAAAAUGAUGUUUAAUUUGAGUAAGUGUUUUAAAUCUAUUAAAUGUGUAUAGAAUUUUAAUCA